This 263-nucleotide long non-coding RNA is filed under the name Mytilus galloprovincialis (Mediterranean mussel). Lineage: Eukaryota; Metazoa; Mollusca; Bivalvia; Mytilida; Mytilidae. The record is from RNAcentral.
ACAUGAUUAUGAUUAUUAAGGGUAUAUUAAUUGUGUCUAACUGUCGCCUGGUGAGAUUAAUAGAUUAAGGUAAAACUUUAUGAUACCAUAUGGCCUAGAUGUUGAUUGACUUUUAUUUUUAUGACCUAAGAUCAGUGCCUCAGAUAUGGUAAUGAAAUAGCACCCGUACCUUCUUGAAUAUACAGACGAUCUGCUAAGUGAACAUCACAGCAUGAAUCUGUCCAUUUUUAUGUGAAGGUAACACUCAAAGUCAGGUGACAUAU